ACUAGGCAUGGUGGUAUAUGCCUGUUUUCCCAGCUACUAGGAGGCUGAAGCAAGAGGAUUGUUUGAACCCAGGAGUUCAAGACCAGCCUGGGCAACAUAGGAAGACUUCAU
Molecule: small RNA, 111 nt
Filed under: Marmota monax (woodchuck)
Lineage: Eukaryota; Metazoa; Chordata; Mammalia; Rodentia; Sciuridae
Source: RNAcentral